AAAAUAGCACAUUAAUUAAUUCUCACAAAUGAAGGAGGUAACCAAUUAACAAAACAUUUAUGGUUCAGUGACCGAAACACCAGAUGGGUUUACAAAAUGAUAGCUAGUAGAUGCAUGUCCUACGAAUCAUGUUUGCUCCACUACACAGAAUAUCCAGUUGACCGAGACACCAUAUAUGUUUACACAAUGAUAGAUAAUAGAUGCAUGUCACACGAUUCAUAGUAUGCUCCCUUACACAGUUAUAACGCAAACUGCCAACUUCAUGGUUCUUGGUCAUCUUGUAUGUGUUUCUUCCAAAGGAUCAAGGCAAUGAGGCAGCUUCAUCUUAUAUUCCUAACAAGGGAAAGCUCCUGGUUCAAAUAGUGAUCAAUGUUAAGCCCACAUACACUUGAAUACACAAGCAACAACAAAAUAGGAAAAUUGGUGCACCUCAUACAUUUCCCUGUGCUCUCGAAAGAACAGCAGAAUUUAUACAAAGCGAAGCUUUGUACUAUUAAGGUCAUGACAACAGCCCACUUAUGGAAGCUUGACACCGGUGAUUACUCCACAAAGCAACUGAAUUGCAGUAUAUAUAAGAACUUUAUUAAUCUAGAAUAGACUAACUCCAAAUUCCAUGCUCUCUAAUUGAGAGUACUAUGGUUCAGUUCAUCUUUACAACAGUUUUACAUUAUUAGGAACACCGAACACCACAACAUCUCAAAAUUUCCAAUAUAGCCUUUAUGUCAACCAUGAAUUUUGUUCCAGUAUAGUAAUUAGCAGUAGCACACUUUUAUUUUGUCUCAGUGGGAUCUGAAAUAACUUAAAGAGGUUUGUAUGUUUAAUCUUUGUAACGAGUAAAUCUUCUGGUACGCGUAAAUUUCUACAAAACUAAGUGCUCACAAUUAUAUCAUCAAUAGUGAUUGCUUGCAAGUCAGUCGGACUCACCUCUCUGCAUGUGUCCAACUUUUAUCCAAUGCUAGUUUCAG
This 965-nucleotide long non-coding RNA is filed under the name Hordeum vulgare. RNAcentral describes it as "long non-coding RNA (HVUL_LNC013404)". Lineage: Eukaryota; Viridiplantae; Streptophyta; Magnoliopsida; Poales; Poaceae. The record is from RNAcentral.